Gavialis gangeticus (Gharial) is the source of this 1249-nucleotide long non-coding RNA. RefSeq lists it as uncharacterized. The transcript is spliced from 3 exons. Lineage: Eukaryota; Metazoa; Chordata; Crocodylia; Gavialidae. The record is from RefSeq and is a predicted model, not a curated record.
CUGUCAGUAGGAUUAAGAUUUGUAAACAUAUACCACACAUUUCCAGGAACUGUGUUAACAGAGCAACAGGUAGCAGCAGAAGGCCAUUAUCCUUCAUGGGGAACAGUCACUAAGGAGGGAAAGACACACUGUUUGGCAAUGUGCUUUACAUUGAUGGAUAUAGAGUAAUGUGGAUCAUUUUCAAAAAGAAGGACUGAGAGAGACCUCCAGUCCAGUAUCUUUUCCAGCCUGGCAUUUGAAUUGGGGGUUGGGAGAGAAAAGCAGCUUCAAGUACCCUAAGUCAGAGAAAGAAAUUGGACACAGAAUGUUUCCUUUACCUUGUGGAAUACCAUUAGAAGUCUCUGUACAAAGGCAAAAGCUGUGGUUGCUAUAGCAAUAACCAAUCUGAUGAAGCUGUGACCUAAAUCAUGACUGAGGAAAAUAGUACCUUGUCUAUAUCACUGCAGUUACUGCUUCUUUGGAUUAUGCGAUCAGUAUACACAAUUUAUUACCUAAAAUGAACUCUUUAACUCCAGUACAUGAGAAAAGUAAAGUGAUACUUCCCUUACUAUAGACCUUGAAAAGAGCAUGGACAGCUUAAAUCGAUGCUAAAGUUUAGAUAUGGGCAGAAAUUCUGUUCUUGGUGUCUUGAUACCCCAUCCCUGCAGGGAGUUCCUGGAGCGUCAGUCUGUUUCCUGGAAGUCCAGACUUUGGCCCUAGAUUAUUGAAACCUCCGUAAAUCAAGUCACUGAGAAUUGAUAGUAGACAGCACUGACACAUACUGACCAUGUCAGUACUGUCUAUCUGCUCACGUUUAACUUCCUAAACUCUUAGAGGUGUCGCCUAUUCCAGUGUUAAGCAUGGAGUGCAAACUCUUGCAGACUUUUCAUGUUGGUUUCUCUUUGGUGGUUAUAACGUUUGGUGGGGCCAUCCUAAAAUAUUCCUUAAGAUGAUAAACAUGAGCUCUUCAACAGUUUUUAAAAUCUCUCUAGCCAGUACUUGAAUCCCUUGUGCGAUAAAACUCAUAUUUAUUUGGUAAUUUUCUCACCAGCCUUGCUUUGAGUCAUGAGAAUGGGUUGUAAUCGAUGUAUAAUACAUAUUAUUAAAAUUUCAGGAUGACUGUAAACACGGAGUUACCCACUCACAUAAUGUCACCCAUAUAGUGCAAUAUAUCAAAUAUGGGCAAGUAUUAUCAAGUACAUGAUACCAGUAUGCUGGGUGGUUCUUAAAAUAGUAGAAUGGUCUGACCUCUGCCAAACCAGCUCUAGGA